This 234-nucleotide unclassified non-coding RNA is filed under the name plant metagenome. Its description in RNAcentral is "partial contains small subunit ribosomal RNA, internal transcribed spacer 1, and 5.8S ribosomal RNA". The record is from RNAcentral.
UCUCCGUUGGUGAACCAGCGGAGGGAUCAUUACCGAUUUAUUCUACUCCCAAACCCCUUUGAACUUAUACCUUUACUGUUGCUUCGGCGGGUUAACGCCCCGAAACGCCCGCUAGGGCCGCCGGGACCAGCCGCCAGCCCGGGGACCCACACUCUGUUUUCUUUUUUAUAGCCUGUCAGAGGUGACUCAUAAACAAAUGUAUCAAAACUUUCAACAACGGAUCUCUUGGUUCUG